CGGAGGGGACUAGCGUUGUUCGGAAUUACUGGGCGUAAAGCGCACGUAGGCGGAUUUGUAAGUCAGGGGUGAAAUCCCGAGGCUCAACCUCGGAACUGCCUUUGAUACUGCAAAUCUCGAGUCCGGAAGAGGUGAGUGGAAUUCCUAGUGUAGAGGUGAAAUUCGUAGAUAUUAGGAAGAACACCAGUGGCGAAGGCGGCUCACUGGUCCGGUACUGACGCUGAGGUGCGGAAGCGUGGGGAGCAAACAGGAUUAGAUACCCUGGUAGUCCACGCCGUAAACUAUGGGUGCUAGCCGUCGGGGAGCUUGCUCUUCGGUGGCGCAGCAAACGCAUUAAGCACCCCGCCUGGGGAGUACGGUCGCAAGAUUA
Molecule: ribosomal RNA, 370 nt
Filed under: uncultured organism
Description: bacterial SSU rRNA
Rfam family: Bacterial small subunit ribosomal RNA
Source: RNAcentral